This 468-nucleotide ribosomal RNA is filed under the name uncultured bacterium. Its description in RNAcentral is "partial 16S ribosomal RNA". It matches the Rfam family "Bacterial small subunit ribosomal RNA", at positions 28 to 507 of the family's 1533-position model. The record is from RNAcentral.
GACGAACGCUGGCGGCGUGCUUAACACAUGCAAGUCGAACGGAAAGGCCCUGCUUUUGUGGGGUGCUCGAGUGGCGAACGGGUGAGUAACACGUGAGUAACCUGCCCUUGACUUUGGGAUAACUUCAGGAAACUGGGGCUAAUACCGGAUAGGAGCUCCUGCUGCAUGGUGGGGGUUGGAAAGUUUCGGCGGUUGGGGAUGGACUCGCGGCUUAUCAGCUUGUUGGUGGGGUAGUGGCUUACCAAGGCUUUGACGGGUAGCCGGCCUGAGAGGGUGACCGGCCAAAUUGGGAAUGAGAAACGGCCCAGACUCCUACGGGAGGCAGCAGUGGGGAAUAUUGCACAAUGGGCGGAAGCCUGAUGCAGCAACGCCGCGUGCGGGAUGACGGCCUUCGGGUUGUAAACCGCUUUCGCCUGUGACGAAGCGUGAGUGACGGUAAUGGGUAAAGAAGCACCGGCUAACUACGUG